UUGUCCUCAUUCUACUCUAAGCCUGUUUCUUCAACUGUAGAAAGAGAAUACAUGCCUACCACUCUGACACCUGAGAUGAAAGAGUUGACCAAGACCAAGGGCACUCUUCCCUACCAGAGCAUGGUGGACACCUGAGGACCAGAGGAAUUCUAUGGCAAAGAACUUGGGUUCUUUGAGGAGAAGGCCACUGGGUCAGGAGUCCGUGCAGCUCUUUACAGAUCUACCCUCAUCUUUGCUGAUCUGAUCGAUGCAGAAAACCAGAGUCUUGGCCUUAGGAGGCAGAGAAGAACAAGUGGGUGUACGGAUCCAAAGGGUGGUCUCGGAUGCUAAUGCUGCAGGAGAAGAGCCUCCUCGCCACGUGCUGCUGGCCAAGCCUGAGCCCUGGGGGCCGCCCUCGUGCCCGCAGACUGUCUUACACAGGACGCCUGAUGUUGAGAGGGGAGAAGCAGGGAGCCAGCGGGAGUGAAGGGGCUUCCCACACUCUCCUCCCACAAACACAGGAAUAAGUAACUGGGGAAACUGUGGGCUUCUGCAACCUGAGGCUCAAGAUGGGCUGGCUGCUAAUUUCCUGGAUGUUGAAGAUCAGAGGAAA
Molecule: long non-coding RNA, 592 nt
Organism: Lagenorhynchus albirostris (white-beaked dolphin)
Lineage: Eukaryota; Metazoa; Chordata; Mammalia; Artiodactyla; Delphinidae
Exons: 4
Source: RefSeq, a predicted model, not a curated record